UUGAACUUAGAGUGUGUGGAUAUGCUUGUGAAAUUGUAAAAUUUUAAUUGUUAAUUAUGGUUGGUUUAAUGAUACAGCUAAAGAGAACGGGCUUAUGGAAGAUGGAUUAUCAGAGAUAUCUGAUGAUGCGAAAGUUGUAGAAAUUUCUGAGAAAGGUAGUAUGCUUAAUGUUUCUGAGGUGGGCGUUGAAAGUAGUGUGGGAAUCGAACAUAAUAGAGCAAAUGAGAGAAAUGAUAUCGACGGAAUGGUUUUAAAUGGUAGUCCCAAAAGAGGAACAGAAAAUAAGGAAGUACCAUUCAAUUUCCUUGCGAAUAGAAAAGAAGGAGAAAGAACUAGAAGAGCAGAUUAUUUUGAUGAUGAGUACAGCUCUUCUGCAGAGGGUAUGAUUAAUGAUAGGAAUCAGGGUAAAGAGAGUGGCAUGGACAUGAAAAAGCCAGUAUAUUCGAAUUUUCAUAGUGAAAAUGAGCUUGAUGAAAUUGGGCCUCCAAUGAGAUCAUUGAGAUCUAGGCCUGCUCUGGACACGUGGGGCGUGGAAAGAAAUCAAUCGGUGGCUUCUUCAGCAAAUGCCAGAAUUGUAGCCCCACAUGGGAGGUUUGAUAGUUCUCUGUAUCGUGGUGAGAGACCGUCGAGCUAUGACAUGGACUCUUAUUAUAGAUAUGGUGAGAGGAUGAGAUAUCGGGAUCAUGAUGUGGAUGGGCUUACUAGAGUUGAAAAUUUAGAGAAUGAUCGAGCUGAGCUUCUAAGGAAACUUGAUGAAUUGAAGGAUCAACUAACUAGAUCUUGUGAUUUAGCAGAAAAACCUAAUGAUAGACUUGGUACUGAUAGAAGGAUGCCUCCAACUCCACCCAAUCCAUAUGGUAGACAUCAUGCUGAUUACGUGCAAGAUGGCUUGGCUAGUUUGCAUGGUGUUAAUCAGCAACCCCUUGGUCCCAAUGAUUUGAAAACCCUGUAUUCAAGUUACGAUCGUGGACGCAUUCCUCACAUGGAUAAAUUUGGUUCAACAAUGCAAGACUCGUAUCCUCAAAGGAACUUCCCACCCGAGUUCUUGGGUUAUGGUGAUGUUUAUCAACCAGAAAUGCUCCGUAGGCCUACUAGUCAGCUGCCAUCUAAAUUUUUGCAACAGCCAUCUCAUGAGAACCGUCCAGGUCACUACAUGGAUAUCAAUCGCAACCUUUUCGCGUCACAUCCACAUGAAACCUUUUUUCACCAGCCUGCAUGUUCUUGUGUGCAAUGCUUUAACAAUAACUGGCAUUUGCCUCCAAAAAUUCAUCAAAGGUCUCUAGACGACCCCAAUCUUCUAUACUAUCCGAAUCCUGUUUUGCAACGUCACCAAGGUUAUAGAUCUGAGGGGUCCAAUUCUCAUCAAAUGCACUCUCGACAGCCCCUAACAAUGAGUUCAAAUGAUGCUGAUUUAGAAAAUGGCGGUUUAAUAUACCACCGUCCUAAAAAGUCAGUGGUAGCUCAUGGGAGUGGACGAACAUGCUUUCCCAUUGCAGGGGGUGCCCCUUUCAUAAUAUGCUGUAACUGCUUUGAGUUACUGAAACUGCAGAGAAAGCACAUCUCAAUGGUAAAUAACCAACAGAAAAUAAAAUGUGGAGCUUGUUCUUCGAUAAUCUUGUUUGAGCUUGGGAACAAUGGGAUUAUUAUUUCAAUUCUUCCAAACAUUGAUCAAGUUCAAAUUGAGACCGACAAUGGUUCUACUGGGACACUUGAUGAAAAUUUAAAUUAUUUGCAUGGCAAUUGUGGUGAAAAUGCUGUUGAUAUGGACCCCUGUUCUACAAUAUGCUUUCUCUUGUAUUUUUUUGUUGAUGGAAUGACACAUAGAAUGAAAAGUUGCAUGAAUUGGGGACCAUAAUCUUAUAUAUAGUUUUCAUAUGUAUUUUGUUUAUUAUGAAAUACAAUUCUAAAGGAAUAUGGUCUAUGCACAUAUAAUUCGGCCCCCACUUUAUUUAGAUGCCAUUAGGCUUCAACCCAUCAUUUUAAUUCUUUGUUAGAUCACUUUAAUUUUUUACUUAACUUUACGAUAACUCAAUUAAUUACAUAUGUAGUCCUACCGGACAAAUUAAAAUUUUCCCAGCAUAUGAUUGUUUGAAUAGAAAUUGUAUGUGGGCUUGAGUGAAAUUUGAAGUCUUGUUAUGGUAGCUUCUGAUGGUAAAGCUAAAAAAGAAGGGGAUAUUGUAUUACAUUACGAUAUGAUUGUGUAUGUACUCAACAUGUAAAAUAUGAUGGUCCGAAAGUAAUUAAUCACAUUUAUGAACAGAACAUUUCAAAAUGAUAAUCAAAAACAUAAUUUUUGUAAGGUUUGAACUUAGAGUGUGUGGAUAUGCUUGUGAAAUUGUAAAAUUUUAAUUGUUAAUUAUGGUUGGUUUAAUGAUACAGCUAAAGAGAACGGGCUUAUGGAAGAUGGAUUGUCAGAGAUAUCUGAUGAUGUGAAAGUUGUAGAAAUUUCUGAGAAAGGUAGUAUGCUUAAUGUUUCUGAGGUGGGCGUUGAAAGUAGUGUGGGAAUCGAACAUAAUAGAGCAAAUGAGAGAAAUGAUAUCGACGGAAUGGUUUUAAAUGGUAGUCCCAAAAGAGGAACAGAAAAUAAGGAAGUACCAUUCAAUUUCCUUGCGAAUAGAAAAGAAGGAGAAAGAACUAGAAGAGCAGAUUAUUUUGAUGAUGAGUACAGCUCUUCUGCAGAGGGUAUGAUUAAUGAUAGGAAUCAGGGUAAAGAGAGUGGCAUGGACAUGAAAAAGCCAGUAUAUUCGAAUUUUCAUAGUGAAAAUGAGCUUGAUGAAAUUGGGCCUCCAAUGAGAUCAUUGAGAUCUAGGCCUGCUCUGGACACGUGGGGCGUGGAAAGAAAUCAAUCGGUGGCUUCUUCAGCAAAUGCCAGAAUUGUAGCCCCACAUGGGAGGUUUGAUAGUUCUCUGUAUCGUGGUGAGAGACCGUCGAGCUAUGACAUGGACUCUUAUUAUAGAUAUGGUGAGAGGAUGAGAUAUCGGGAUCAUGAUGUGGAUGGGCUUACUAGAGUUGAAAAUUUAGAGAAUGAUCGAGCUGAGCUUCUAAGGAAACUUGAUGAAUUGAAGGAUCAACUAACUAGAUCUUGUGAUUUAGCAGAAAAACCUAAUGAUAGACUUGGUACUGAUAGAAGGAUGCCUCCAACUCCACCCAAUCCAUAUGGUAGACAUCAUGCUGAUUACGUGCAAGAUGGCUUGGCUAGUUUGCAUGGUGUUAAUCAGCAACCCCUUGGUCCCAAUGAUUUGAAAACCCUG
Molecule: long non-coding RNA, 3251 nt
Filed under: Olea europaea (common olive)
Lineage: Eukaryota; Viridiplantae; Streptophyta; Magnoliopsida; Lamiales; Oleaceae
Description: long non-coding RNA (OEUR_LNC007198)
Source: RNAcentral